Molecule: unclassified non-coding RNA, 592 nt
Filed under: Hevea brasiliensis (rubber tree)
Lineage: Eukaryota; Viridiplantae; Streptophyta; Magnoliopsida; Malpighiales; Euphorbiaceae
Source: RNAcentral
AUCAGCAAUAAUGAUCCAGUCCUUGUUGGCUAUGGGUCAAAGGAUCACAAAAUUCACUAUUCUGGUCCAUUGUUAGUUCCAUCAGGAAAAAUGGAUCAAAUGCUGAAGGAUCAUGAUCGCCAGAUCCAAGAAGCUGUCAGACGAGCUCGUAUUGACAAGGCAAAGGUCAAAAAAGUUCAGGUUGAUGGGAACCAAAUAUCAACCAAUUCAAUAUUUGUUUCUGGUCGCUAAGCCUGAUUAAGCCCCCCACAUAAAUGUCAAGAGGAUCACUGCAGAAUAAGUUGCCUGUUGGUUUUCUUGCGUUAAAAAUGAGUAAAAUAGUUAGGUGGGGUUUUUUGUAUAGGGCUUGUUCUUAGAAAGAUAGUGGCAUAUAGCUAAUUGAUAAAGCAUUCCCUUCUCUCUGCAGUUUAUCAUGUGUAGUUACGUUUCAUUCUGCGACUGCAAUUUCUGAAUUAUGGGCCAUUCUUGUAGAGCAUUUUUAGUAGUCAUAAGCUGUAGAUUAUCUGGAAAAAUAUGACUUUGUGGUGUUAAAGAAAGAAAUGUUGAAUCCACCAUGCUUAAUUGCAGAAUAGCUUUUCAAGCUCCUGCAAGA